UGAAAGGAAAAACAGGACACGGGAGC
This 26-nucleotide non-coding RNA is filed under the name Drosophila melanogaster (fruit fly). Lineage: Eukaryota; Metazoa; Arthropoda; Insecta; Diptera; Drosophilidae. The record is from RNAcentral.